Molecule: ribosomal RNA, 253 nt
Filed under: uncultured bacterium
Lineage: Bacteria
Description: partial 16S ribosomal RNA
Rfam family: Bacterial small subunit ribosomal RNA
Source: RNAcentral
UACGUAGGGUGCAAGCGUUAAUCGGAAUUACUGGGCGUAAAGCGUGCGCAGGCGGUGAUGUAAGACAGAUGUGAAAUCCCCGGGCUCAACCUGGGAACUGCAUUUGUGACUGCAUCGCUGGAGUGCGGCAGAGGGGGAUGGAAUUCCGCGUGUAGCAGUGAAAUGCGUAGAGAUGUGGAGGAACACCGAUGGCGAAGGCAGCCACCUGGGCUAACACUGACGCUCAUGCACGAAAGCGUGGGGAGCAAACAGG